CCAUGAUCUGUUGAAUUUGCUCAGCUCCCUGCUCAACAGCAGGAAAUCAGUUUGAAUUAUUUAAAAACCUCAUUGUGGCUGGGAGCGGUGGCUCAUGCCUGUAAUCCCAGCAAUUUGGGAAGCCAAGGUGGGCAGAUUGCUUGUUGUCAGGGGUUUGAGACCAGCCCAGCAAACAGCCUUUCCUAACCACAGAUCUCCUAAUAGAGGAAAGCACUCAUCAAUUACAAAAAUAUGUCCUCAAUCUAGGGCAGGUGCAAGGCACUCUGUGAGUAUGGAAACUAGAGUCCUCCCCUCCCACAUGGGAGGAAAAUUCAGUUUCGGGUCAGCUAGGGAUUUAGUCUUAGUAAAGACGUGGGAGGAAGUUCUCCAGCUGACCAGCUUUCCCCAACGUGGAAAGGACCACAGCAGGGACACCUGAGCUCCUCAACAGACGUUCAACGCCAAGGGAUGCACAGUUCUGGGAGACGAUCUCUGAUGAACACGCCAUCGACUCCACCGGCACCUAUCAAGGGGACAUCCAUGGGCAGCUGGAGCGCAUCGACGUGUACUACAACGAGGCCUGCGGUGAGAGCCCCGACCUUCCCCACCGCCCUCCUGGGAACGCGGCCCUCCCCUCGCUCAUGUCCUCCCGCCCCUCUCGGGUGGCAGGUACGUGCCCCGCGCUGUGCUGGUGGAUCUGGAGCCGGGCACCCUGGACUCUGUGCGCUCGGGGCCCUUCGGGCAGAUCUUCAGGCCGGACAACUUCAUCUUUGGUCAGAGUGGGGCCGGAAACAACUGGGCCAGGGGGCACUACACAGAAGGCGCGGAGCUGGUGGACUCGGUGCUGGAUGUUGUGAGGAAGGAGGCUGAGAGCUGUGACUGCCUGCAGGGUUUCCAGCUGACCCACUCCCUGG
This 893-nucleotide long non-coding RNA is filed under the name Macaca mulatta (Rhesus monkey). RNAcentral's name for it is "lncRNA (ENSMMUG00000054362.1)". The record is from RNAcentral. Lineage: Eukaryota; Metazoa; Chordata; Mammalia; Primates; Cercopithecidae.